ACGGGAGCGUUGCUUCCUCAUCCAAGGAUGCUGAUGAUGCCUGGUGGGAUGGAGAGACAUUCUGAAGGUGACAAACCUGCUUCCUUGGCUUCAAGUAAUACUCGAAUGGUUGUUCCGGCAUCCAAGAGCAAUGGUACUCAGCAGAAACCUCCUUUUAAGUUCUUGAUCUAUGGUAGAACAGGGUGGAUUGGAGGUUUGCUGGGGAAACUGUGCGAUAAGCAAGGAAUUCCAUAUGAAUAUGGAAAGGGGCGCCUAGAGGAUCGCUCCUCAGUGGUGGCUGACAUUAAUAAUGUGAAACCAACCCAUGUUUUUAAUGCUGCAGGCGUGACUGGUAGACCCAAUGUCGAUUGGUGUGAAUCUCACAAAACAGAAACCAUCAGAACUAAUGUGGCUGGCACUUUAACAUUGGCUGAUGUUUGCAGAGAGAAUGGGAUCUUGGUGAUAAAUUAUGCUACUGGGUGCAUAUUUGAGUAUGAUGCAGCGCAUCCGGAAGGCUCUGGCAUUGGUUUUAAGGAGGAAGACAAGCCCAAUUUCAUUGGCUCUUUCUAUUCCAAAACUAAAGCUAUGGUAAGUUUUCCUACAUACAUAUGGUAUGAUCUCAUUAUUUUUCAUUAUGAAUUAACUCAAAUAAUGACUUUUAUGUGAAUUUUGAUCAGGUUGAGGAGCUCUUGAGAGAGUAUGACAAUGUAUGCACCCUCAGGGUUCGCAUGCCGAUUUCAUCUGACCUGAGCAACCCGCGCAACUUCAUUACGAAGAUUUCUCGUUAUAACAAGGUAGUAAACAUUCCAAACAGCAUGACUAUUUUGGAUGAGCUUCUGCCAAUUUCAAUUGAGAUGGCAAAGAGGAACCUGAGGGGAAUCUGGAACUUCACAAACCCUGGAGUGGUGAGCCACAACGAGAUCCUUGAGAUGUACAGGGAUUACAUUGACCCCAACUUCAAGUGGGUUAACUUCAAUCUGGAAGAGCAAGCCAAGGUGAUUGUUGCUCCUCGAAGCAACAAUGAACUGGAUGCUUCCAAAUUGAAUACGGAAUUCCCAGAAUUGCUUCCCAUCAAGGAGUCACUAAUCAAGUAUGUCUUCGAGCCAAACAAGAAAUAAACAGGUUUAUGUUUUAGGCAUAGCAGUAAUGUUUCCGGUCUACAUAGGCAUUGCAGUAAUGUUUUAGGCAUGGCAGUAUUACUAUUGUGUUAGUGUGUUUCCUAGAUUUAAAUUUCAAGUACUUAUAGCAUGUUUUAAUUGAUUAUAAUUGCUUUAGUGAGUGACUCCUUUGUACUAGCAGCCUUAGAUAGAUGCACUGGUAUGAAAGUUUGUGAUUUGGAACUUCUGCAUCUGUGUAAGGCUUGUAUUCUUUUAUCAUCUAGAAUGAAAAAUUAAAAUAAGAGACCUUGUUGUCAUUUUGGACAUUAUUAUUGAGAUGUACUUGGAUAUUUAUCUGUAAUAUGAAGUGAAAAAACUGUUAUUUUGAAAGUGAAAAUCUGGGAACAAUAGAUGUUAUUUAUCAUUUUUCUAAACUAAAAGAACUGUCGAUGUAACAAUCGUGUUUAACUUUUAUUUUUUAAUUUCCCUUGGCUUAGGUUUGCUCCAGAAAUUGGGUUUAUGAUGUGAUAUUAACAUUUUGAUGUAGUAACAAACUUGUAUCAUUAAAUUAAGCUAUUCAUUUUUUUUUCUAUGAUUAAAAGCUCAACGGGUUUGGUUUGAGUCAUCACCAUGGGUUAGGUAUGUCUUCGGAAGGUACAGAUUGCUCACCAAGUGACACAUUCUUACUAAUUUUUUUUGCUACAUCGGAAAACCACACAUUCUUACUAAUUAAGCCAACAUGUGUUAGUAGUCACUCAUCAAUGUUAAAUAAAGAACUAAAAGUAGCAUUUUUACCAAGAUAUGUGAUGAAACGAGACGCAAUAAUUUCUAGAUUUAUUCCUAUAAAUUAAUUAAAUGGACAUGGAAAAAGUUUGAUAUUUGCAAUACAUUAGUUGGUGUUUAUACAAUGACUUAAAUUUAUAAAAAGAAUUGAUAAUGGUAGGGGCGAUGGUGGUCAUAAUAAAAGAACCUAUUUUUUUUUAUAAAGAUCUUCAAUUUUUUAUACGAAUUGUACUAAACAAGGGGAAAAUUUGUCUCCAUGCAAGCGAGUACCACGCUUCAAUAACAUAUUAACAUGUCCACGAGUGUCACGCUACAAGCGAAAUUUCUAAUUUAUUUAUUUGAGAACACACACGAGGCUUACUAUUAUUGUUAUUUUUUCCCCCACAUUCUUAUUUUCUUAACGAUUGACAAGGACAUGCAAUUGUAUUUUGGGUGGAGACAUUCAUCAAAAAUAAAAAAUAAAAAGAAAACAAUAGGGUGUAAUUUUCCUCGAGUUGAUGAGAUCAAUCUCCAAUAAAGUUGAAUGGUGCUAAGCUCGGCUAAGAACACAACAGUUAGGUGAAUAUGCAGGACGGAGCAUGGCUAUGGACAAUGAUGGAUUUAGAAAUAUACGGUUGUGGGGGCAAUAUAUAUAUGUGGAAAGUUUGCGUAAUUUUUUUAAUUCUCUAAGUCUAUUAAAUAUUUGUGGCGUCAUGUAUUUAUUCAUAAAACAAGAUUUUUAUAAGUAAUUUUUUCUUUGAAAAACAAUAUUUAUUUACCUGAACACAUGACUGUUACGAGUUCAAGUCCCGACAAAAAUCUCUUGUGAGUAUCUUUUUAUUUUGAAGGUGCACAAGAAUGAAAAACAAGUGAUAAAAAGUAACAAUAUGAUUUGUUGGUUCGCAGCUAAAUGAGAGAGCAAUAAAAAAUAGUGAUAUAUGAAAGCUCUUACAUUUACUUAGAGACUCAUGUUAGAAAAGAGGCAAACUUUACAAAAAAAAAAUUGAGAAAUAAAACGUUGUAAGCCGUUAGAAAAGACGGCCCAAUAGAUAUUGGAAUUAGAACACUAAACAAAAAACGUGUGGCAAACAAGUUAUAGGAUCUCUCCAAGUAUGGGGACACUAAUCAAUUUUUGGUGGGGGCAAUAUUGACAUACUUUUUUUUUUAAAGUAAUAUUGACAUACUUGUAGAUUUAUUGUUUACGAAUUUUGUGGGGGACAUUUGCCCCUCUAAUGUUUAAUGUGGUCCGUCACUAGCUAUGAAGAUAUACCUACAAAUAGGGAUGACAAUAGAACCCGACCCGAUUUUAUAGUUAAAACCCUAUAGAUUGGGUUUGGUAUUGUUAAACCUGCACCCAAACCCGAAUAAUAUAUAUAAAUUACAAAACUACGCUUAUAUAUAUCAUGUUAACAAUUCGGUCAUAUUUGAACAAUAAGAUACCAAUUUUUUUUCAAAAAGAUACAAAACGGAUUUUUCACAACAAUAUAUUUUGAGUUGCGUUUUGUUUUACAAAAAAGUCUAUGCAUCAAGUUAGGUUAGGACAUUAGUUUUGAGGCUACAACGGGUUUGGGUUCGGUAUUAGAGUUCGGAUUUGAGUUUGGGAAAGGAAAAACCCGACCCCGACCCGACUCGUUGCCAUCCCUACCUACAAAAGACAGGGUCGAGUAUAGAUACUUUGGGACUUAAGACAAAAUGAUUUCAAUGGUGCAAAUACCUACUCCACUCUUGCCCUGUACCGCCCUAUGUAAUAGUUAAAUAAUUUGAAUAAUAAUAGUAGUGAAAUGGUAUCUUAAUCUCAUAUGUUUUGGUAAAAUAUAAUUUAAAUCUAAUGUUUCUUAUAACUUUUAUGAUUAUUAAUGUUUGUUUAUAUAUAUAAUUUGAAUUUGAAUUAAUAAUGUGAUUAUUACACUAUAUAUUUAAAGAUUAAUGGAAAAAAAUUAAAGGCUUAAAUAUUCUUGGGGUCCUAAGAUUGUAAGAGUUAUCAAAUCAGGUCCCUGAAAUUUUUUUUUCUGUGGAAUAUCAUCACUGUAAUUUUUUAAAUCAAAUUAAGUCAUUUUUAUCAAUUUUGACCAAUCAACGGUCCAAUAGCGAGUCUAGUCAAUAGAGGUUGUGCACGUGAAUUUUUUUCACAUCAAUUUUAGUCCUUGUAAAAUUUUUAAAUCAUAUUUUCAAUCCCUCUUAAUAAAUUCUUAAUUCCUAAUUCUUCAUCUUCAUCUUAUUUCUCUUCCUCCUUCAUCUUCAUCCAUACCUGAAACCCAAAAAUUCCUUUUCUCAUUCACACUCAUGGUAAUUAAAAUCGGACCGGACCAGUCGGUUCAACCGGUUAGACUGUGAACAUAGCAUGUGGCCGGUCCAAAUAGCCAGCAAAACCGGAUUAACAAAAAACCGGUCAACAACCGGAAAACCGGUCAAUAACCGGGAAAACCGGCGGUUUUAAAUUUGAACUGGUUUAAAGAAAAAGUUAAAAUUCAAUGUGUUUCAUUAUGAUUUGUUCUUGAAUCAAUUAACAUUAGUAAUCACGUACUAAUAUUAUUAGGUUUUAAAUGCUCUCCAACUUCAAAACUAGGUUCCACUUACGGUGAGCCAAUUAUAAAACUGGUUCACCAUGGACCAGUUUUAUUCUAACCGUUAGAUGUAUUUUUUUUUAAUAUUAACGGUUCAGAUUAAUUAAUUAUAAAAGAAAUUAUUUAUUAAAUAUAAAUCACUUUACUAAAACACCCUUUUCACUUUUUCUACCCUAACCCUAGCAGCCUUCUCUCCUACCUCUGAAAAAUCCAUAGCCGCCACCACCCCUCUCCCUCUCAUGGCAGCGCCGCCACCACCACCUCCCUCUCCCUCCCAUGGCAGUGCCGCUCUCUUCUUCUCACUACCGCACCACCACCACCACUCAAACCACCCCACCACCACCUCCACACCCAUCUUAACCCAGAACCAACCCCACUCACUCCUCCCAACGUUUCAUCCUCUUCUCCUAACCCAUCUGAAACUCAACACCACUAAACCCCAACCCACCGCCACCACCAAACCCCCACCAACACCCACGAAACCCCCAAACCCAGCACCACGGCACCACCACUAGUGAAUGCAAACAAGGAUAGAUAAACCGAUCUCAUCUCCGUUCCCCCACCUUCGUCGCCAGCCGUUGGGGCUCCGUCGUCAUCGAACUCGUCCACCACACCCUCAAUGUCUUCAUGGUUUUGACAGAGGAACAACCACCACCACCAGAUUUGGGUUAAUUUGUUUCAGAUCUGGUGGUAGUUUUGACAGAGGAAUAUGGAGAUGAAUGAAGGAAGAUGAGGGAUAGAGGAAGAACCAUAGAAGAAUGAUGGAAGAUGAGGAUUUGGGGUUCUAGAUCUGGGAAGACUUCGUAUUUUUCGAUUGUUAGAAGCUUGAAUCCUUAUGGUAACGAAGCAGAGAUAAUGAAUCCUUUUUUUUAUCUUCUUCUUCUGUGUUCAUCUGAGUUCAUCUGGUUUUUGGUUUUGGGGAUGACGAUUUGUGUGUGGGUUGGUGGUGGGGGAGGAAGUCGAGGGUGUGGGUGGUGGUGGUUAAGGGGUUUUGGAUGCAAGGGUUGCAGUGGUAUUGUGGGGAAGCGGGAGCGUGGUGGCUGAGGAAGGGAAGGUGGUUGUUGUGGUGGCUGGGCGGAGGAGGAUGGUUUCGGCGCGGUUGGUGUCGGCGGCCGGAGAAGGUGGUGGUGCUGUACCAUGGUGAUAGUGGAAGGAGAUGAUGAUGAUGGAAGGAGAAGGAGAAAGAUGGAAAAAAAAAAUUGAGGCAGGGAUAUUUUCGUACUUCAAUUGUAUCAUUGAAACUGGUCCACCAUGGACCAGAUUUAAAAUAUCCCACCGUAGGCGCAGCCUCAAAACUAUAACAAUUACUCCAUCCGUUCCAGAAAGUUUGUUGUUUUGCACCAUUUUUCAAUAUCCCAAAAUGUUUUUUGUUUUAGAAAACCAAUGCAUUUUUUGCUAAUUUUUUCCACUUAUACCCUCAUUUAAUACAUUUUCUCUCACUUAUCACCUUUCAUAUGAACCAACCACAAGUCUUAUUUAUUAUUUACAUUCUUCUCUAUCUAAGUAUAAUUUAAUAGUUGCACAUCAUACUAGUAAAAUUAAAUAAGGACAAUCUAGUCAAGUUAUACUAUCAAUAAUUGCUUUCUUAUUCUUUGUACCACAACCUAAAACUACAAACUUUCUGGAACGGAGGGAGUAUAUAAUUAAGCUAUAACCUAGGCAAUCCAUUGUUUUCUAGGUUUUUUAUUUCUAACGGUCAAUGACUUCUGAAUGUAUUCAUGAUUAAGUUUUUGGUUUAAACAAAUUUUUAUUAAAUAAGUUUUGUUUUUAAUUAUUAUUUAAAAGUUUUAUCAAUUCAAAACCUUUACGUAUUCUGCUACUGCUAUACACCUGUAUGAUCUCUUUAAGGAAUGAAUAAUUAAUGACUCCAUUAUAUGAGACUAUUGUAUAUUUUAAAAUAUUAUUUAAUCAGUCAUUGAUGUAAUGUGAUAAGUUGAGAUAUAGAGAAAAAUGAGAUUUAAAAUAAAUUUUUUAUUUUAGUCUUUUUGCAAACUUGGAUAAUGGAAAUUUUGAACCUAUUAUUCUAGUUGUGUAAUUCUAACUAUAUGUAAACUUUAUUUGUAAGGUGAAGUUAUGGACAUUGUACUUUUUAUUCAAUAUUACCUUAUAUAUAAUAUAAUAUAUAUUAUAUUGAAAUAACAUUAUUUAAUUUAUAGUGUCUAUACCGGUUAAAUUAUGGUUCAAUUACGGUUGAACCAGUGAACCUUGAACCAGUGCCCUCACCGGUUUGAUCACCGGUCCGGUUUUAAUAACCUUGUUCACACUUCAUCAUCCACCCACCCUUCAUCAUCCACUCAAUCCCAAAGGAAUUUUGAACAAUUCGACAAUACAUUUGAAACAUAAUUAAACCUCACUUUUUAUCCUCACAAUGAAUCCUCAAAAUCAUUCCACACUCCACACCCACAAUUAUCGUUUUCUUCUCUGCAGAAUCGAGCCUUUUCUUCUUCUUCUGGAGCGACUAAAAUUGAUGAGAAAAAAAUUCACGUGAACAUUACACCCUCAGUUGAUCACUAGGUUUGUGACUGGACCGUUAAUGAGUCAAAACUAAUGAAAAAGACUUAAUUCGAUUUUUUUUUAUAAGAAUGACAUUUCAAUUUUUUUUUCUUCAGGAAUUCAAUUUAAUUCCUCUUACAAUCUCGGAGACUCUAACCAUAUGUAAGCUAAAAUUAAUCCCACGAAUUUCCCCAAAACCGAUCGAUAAGAUGUUGACUGUCGUAUGUUUAACCUACCAUCCUUAAUCUCACACACAAACCCGUCCCAUUAAGAGCGGGGUGAGCUGGGCAAAACUCGCACCUACCCUGUUGUCAUGCAUCACAUUCAGAUUUAGAUCCCCCGGAGUUCAAUUCAAUAUCUUACUGGUCAUUUAAUUUUAACUGUAUUUUUUAUUAACAUUUUAUUGCAAUUAAAAAUAAAAAUCUAAGGCUUAAUAUCCUUGCAGUUGGAAACCAAACUGCAGAGGAUCGUCCAGUUUGUUGAAAAGUUUAUCCUUAUGAGCAUGAAGCUAACAUUUGCUAGAGAAAUGGUGAAUGAUAACACCCUAGAGCAUAACAUAGAUUAGAGUAAACAAACCUGAAGGAAGUACUAAUAUACAAUAAUUGUUGAAACUCUAAGGCCUAUCUACGUUAUGUUUAUAUUAUAGACUCAAAAUACCCCUUUGAUCCCAGCUUUUCCAUCCGUGCCUCAAAAAUUAAAUUUGUCCUUAUUGCAGACACACUUGUAGCACAUUAUUCAAAGCCAAUGUCUUCCCAUAUGUAAGUUUAAGAAGAAUUUUACUUUUCCAAGAGCUGGAGUAGUUUUUAAGUUUUUGAGAUGCACAUAUAUAUUCCUCUUCAUCCCUUACAAAAGUAUAGGAGGUAAAAGCAUCUUUGUUUGCACAAAUGUGUUUGGUAACUCUAGAGCCUACCAUCGAUUUCUUUACUAUCAGUCACAAUAUUCACUUGAGAAAUAAAUGCAUCAAUCACAUCUUCAUCAUCUCCUUCAGCCAAAUUUUCUCUUGGCUUAGGAGGAUUGUCAUUCUCCCUUUUACACCUGCACUGACGUGCAAAUGACACCUAACUAGUGUUACCUAUACUUUGGACUACGAUCCACCUCUCAAAGCUACUUUCUUCCACCAAUCUUCUUAACUUCCAUUAAAUUCAUUUAAAAGGUUCUUACUUUGUAUUUGAAAUUCCAUUAUAUUCAUUUAAAAGGACUUCUCCUUCAAAUGUGAAUUUCAGUUGGAAGUACUUUUGUUCUAACACGCACUAAUUCAUCUAUAAUGUUGAAAACUCCAAACAGGCACUAAUUAAGUCGUUUCAUACAAUCAUACUACUGAUAUUUUCAUGUAGUGUAUUAAAUAUAGUGGGUACGACAAGCAGUUGGCCUAGAGUAUGUCUCUGUUCAUUACCCUACAAUACUGGACAGAAUUAACAUAUAGAUGUGAUGGUAAAUAAAGUGGAAUUGAUUACAAUUAAUUAAAAAAUAGAGUACUUAUACACACACAGCAUAAACGCGUGAUAAAAAAUCGUUUAGCGGGUUUUUUAAAAGGUAAUUUUUUUUUUAAAUUAUGUGGUACCCUGAAUUUUUUUGGGUACGAUACCCCGACUAGAUGAAAUUGUGAAAUUGAAGGGCAGAGAAAGAGAGAAGCUUAGACAUUUUAACUUUUGUUGGAAUCUUAGACGUCGUGCCGGUUGUUGCAGCUCUUUUUAAGUUAGAAUCUAGUGGUCGAAGUGGAAAUGUAUGCGAUGUUAGAACAAGAGAGUUAUUGACCACAAUAAGAGUGAAAUAUAAAAAUUGGUGUCUGGCGAACGACAAGAUAAUGAGAUAAUCUGCUAAAAUGUUCAUGAAUGAAGAUGCUAGAGGCUUUUAGAAGUUAAAAAAAUUGGAGAUAAAGAGGUUUUAUGUCAUUUAAGGUAUCGUACCCUCAUUUAAAUUAAGAUACCACAGCAAGCACCAUUUUUUUUUGGUGUGGUACCCGAAUUAAGUAAUUUAAUAGAUUAUUAUCAUAUUAUUCAAGGUAAAUAAUACAUUUUUAGAUUUUACUUCACUUGUCAAUUGACUUUAUCUCAUGAAAUUCAUUUUUUAAUGAAAAAUGAACGAGUGGUGAAAACGAAUGAUGUUGUUGGAGAUGCACGUAAAAUGAUCAUAGUUAAUUGAUGAACAAAGCUCAGAAAAUACAACUCGCCUAUCUCAUGUCCCUAAGAAUGAAACACUGCAUUAUUAUGAUAUAACAAAAUCAAAAUUUUAAUCGAUACAUGAGUCUUUAUUAUUGAACCAGCUCAUUUUGGGUACCACACCCUAAUCUGACUUAAGGUACUAGAGCAAAUACCUUUUUAAAAUUCAGUAAAUAGACACAUUAAUUUUGUGGUUGUCUCUACCGCACUUCCAAGCCGCAAGAUUUAUUUUUUAGAUAAUCUAAAAAGUAUGGCGGUUUCAAUAUGCAUAUGUUGAUUAGUGAUCGAGAAUUCUUAUAUAUCUAUGAAACAUUACCUUUAAUAAUAUAUAGAUGUCAAAUACCAUUGCAAACAAAACGAUUAAUUUGUAGACAAAACCAUUGAAAAUUAUUAAUUUUCAAAUUAAUAAUUAUGAACACCCAAUUUUGUCAUACUUAAUAAAAUUUAAUAUAGCUUAUAUAUCUAAAAUAUAUAAAAAUCAGCACUCAAAAUUAUAACAAUAGUGAUUAAUUAAAUAAUUUCAGAAAUAAUAAUAAUAAUAAUUAAUUCAAAAAAGUAUACAUAAAUACUAAAAAUAAAAUUAGAUAAUUAUAGAAAAUGAUCAAAACAUUAAUUAGAGGGUUCAAAACUAAAUAGAAGAUUUUUUUAGUCAAGCAUUUGAUCUUCUUCUACAAGAAUAAUUGAGAAUGAUUCUAAGGAAAAAAAAUAGAAUGUGCUAAUUAAUUUAGAAAAAAUGAGGAAUAAAAUAUAUGGUGAAUCAAAGGAGGCUAGAGACAUCAAACCCUAGAUAUAAACAAUUAUAAAUAGAAGAGGUUCUUGGUGGUAGAGGCAUGUUCAAAGUGAGGGAGAAAUAGUUGAGUGAUCACUUGUGAGUUGUGCUCGAUGAUUUUGCUACCUAGGGAUAUCUCUUAUUUAUUUUAGAAUUGCAGUUCAAAGAUGAAACCACACCUCACAAGUGAUCACUCAACUAUUUCUCCCUAUGAACAUGUCUUUACCAUCAAGAACAUCCUCUAUUUAUAACCGCCUAUCUAGGGUUUGAUGCCUUUAGCUUCCCUUUGAUUCACCCUAUAUUUUAUUUCACAUUUCCUAAAUUAAUUAACAUAUUCUAAUUUUUCCCUAGAACCAUUCCCAAUUAUUCUUGUAGAAGAUACAAUGCUUGACUAAGAAAAUCUUCUAAUUAAUUUUGAAUCCUCUAAUUAAUGUACUGAUCAUUCUCUAUAAUUAUCUAAUUUUAUUUUUAGUAUUUAUUUUAUUAUUUUCGGAAUUAAUUAAUUAUUAUCAUAAUUUAUGAAAUUAUUUAAUUAAUCAUUAUUAUUAUAAUAUAAUUUUGAGCGCUGAUUUCAAUAGAUUUUUGUACUAAUUUAUUAUUUUAGCUUUUAAAAUACUCAUUUCACCUCAAGAAAAUGUCUAUUAUUUAUAGAUACUAAAUUUAAUUAAUAAAGAGAAAAUAAAUUAUUUAUAAAUUCGGCCUAACAAGCUUUGGAGCUUGUGCCUAGUAUCCCCUCAGUGCAAUGAGAUCUUCAAGGCCACAUAGUUCUUAGGGUUUAAAUAUGAUUUUAAUUUGGGGUGCCUGAUGGGAACCGCGUCCCGACUUACGAAUUAUCUUUAGAGAGACAUCAAGACAACGUAGUUCUGGAUGAAAGCUUGAUUUGAAAUGAUUGGUAAAAGCUUGAAGAAGCUUGAUUUUGAGAGGCUUAAAGAAGCCGAAAUUUGAAUUUGAAAGGCUUGAAGAAGCGGAAUUUGAUUGACUUAAAGAAGUUGUAACUUGAUUUUGAAAGGUUUGAAGAAGCCGAGAAUUGAUGAUUUUGAUUUGAAUAUGUAUUUAUGUUAUUAUUUUAAGUUAUUUAAUUUUAGGCACUUUAAAAUAGGUGAUAUAGUACUCUGUGUUUUAAUCAUAUAUAACUUGUAUAUUUUAAGGGAUUUUAUGUUUAGAGUUUCUUAUCUAACAUUUGUUUUCUAGGAUAUUUAUCUUCUAAUUUUUAAUUAAUAAUCCUAAUACUAAUUUUGUUAAAGGAAAUCAGAAAACAAAACCUAAUUUGAUAGACCUACGGCAGCGGUGCCGCAUCAACUUAAUUAUUUUAUGUUUUAAUCUAUUUUUGGUUUAUAUCUUAGAAUAUUUUAUGUAUUUGGGUCUUAUGUCAUAUCAGUAACUUUUAUAGUAACAAAUAUCUCUUUAAGAUUUUUAUCUUAGAAUUACUAACUAAAAUCUACGUUCAAAAACAAAAAAAUUAAACUAAAAUCUUAUGGCAGCACCGGCUGCACCUUCUUAUUUUUAUUUUAAGUAUUAUUUAACUAAUUAAUCCUAAUGUUUAAAGUAAACAAAAGGGAAUGGAAAUCCAUGUAAAACAACAAGCAAAAGGAAAAAGGGAAAGAAAUAAAAAGGUGGAGAAGAAACGAGAUUGAGGAGUAGAACGAAGGGGAAAAGAGGAGGGGCAAUGAGUCUUGGGGAACAUAUUUGAAGCAAAGAAGAAGUGUUUAUCCUUUACAUAAUUUAUUCAUCCUAUGUGUAAAACUUGGAUUGGAAUUUUGGGUGUAAUGACAGAUAUGGGGAGUUGGCAUGGUGGAAUUGAACUAAACAUGGCUUUGGUAUGUAUUCAUAUUAUUAUGAUUUCUUUCGUAACUACAAACCCACAAACAGUACGUGGACAUGGACAUAAAGAAGUUGAUUAGAGAAAUAAGAAAGGUACCUGGAUUGAAAUAAAGUAUGAUGAGUUCGAUAUAUAAUUCUUUUCUUCUUCUGUCUCACUACUUCUCUUAUCCGUCUAGCGUCUUGUCUCUCCCACACUCUUUUUAAAAUCAGGGUUUAAAGAUGGAACCCCAAUCCCCAAGUGUAUUGUCACUUUUUUCCCGCUCUCACUUGAUGACUCUCACAUUUUAAGCCCACAAGAGACACUCCUUUCUUUUCCCUCUCCCCAUGAACUUUCUACUAAGAACCUCCUCUAUUUAUAACCGUCUACCUAGUGUUUGGGGCCUCUAACCUCCUUUGAUUUACCCUAGAUUUCAUUCCUCAUUUCUUAAAUUAAAAAACAUAUUCUAACUAUUCCUCAGAAUCAUUCCUCAAUUAUUUUGUAGAGGGUCUUUAUUUAUUUCUUAAACAAAUCUCCUUAAUUAUUGUAUUGGUCAUCUAAUUUGUUUUUUUUAAUUUAUUUAUUAUUUCCGAAAUUAUUUAAUUAAAUAUUAAAUAUUAUUGAAAUUAUUUAUUUAAUUAUUAUUAUCAUAAUUUUGAGGGUUGAUUAUUAUAUAUUUUAAACAUAUAAGUUAUAUUAAACUAAUAUUAUUAAGGUAUGACAAAAUUAAGUGUUCACAAUAUUCCAAACAUAAACCAUGUCACGAUAUCGUUAAUUAGUGGGAGAAGAGGUCGCAAAUAGUUUGAUUUUAACUAUCAAUGCCUCUACAUAUGACAUUUAUGAAAAAUUGAAAGGUUCAGACACAUCUUAACUACUUUAAGUUUCAGAUGAAGCAACUAUAUAGAAUAGAGAGCGAUAAGGAUAAAACUCUAAAUCUCUGGUCAUAGAGGCUCUGACACCAUGUCAACAAUUAAUUAUCUUAAAAGUUUAAACUGUUAACUAAGAAUUAUAUAAAUAAUUUUAUAUCAUCAUUUCUAUCUGUAUUUAUCUCCACUAUACAAUAAUAUGAGAGCAUAUAUUACACAACUGAUUUAGAAAAAAGGAAAUCAAUAAACACUUCCUAGAAACUAAAUAUAUUAUUGUAAAUUACAAAAGUUGGAAUAAUUUUCAGAGAAUAGAUAAAAAAAAAAUUAGCUGCAUCGAAAAGCUACAAAACACACAGAACUACUAAGAGAGUCUCUUAACAUGAGAGCCUCCAGCUCAAAGGACGGAACAUCUAAGAUACAUAGGGGUAGACGUUAAUUUAUCCAUUGAGGUGUGACCUGACUUUAGCUUGAGAGGAAAGCGUGAGGAAGAUGACCUGAGAAACAAAUUCUGCUGAUUUAAUUGACGCUUUGGGGAGGCAGGAUGUGGAGCAAUUGUUUCAAGUCUUGGGUGAGAUCAGGGGCUUUUUGGCUAAAGAUUGGGAGGUGGUGCUUAGGCAGAUCACCUAGUUAAGGCUAGUUUAAUACACCAUAUUAGGCAUGAUAGUAUAAGGUUAUACAAUAUAUUAUGGACUUAUUAAUUGUUUGAUACUCACAUUGAAUUGUAUUAGACUUAUCCAUCAAUCCACUCUUAUAUACAUUAAAAUGAUGGAUUUUAAUCCACCCUAUAGAUGAUCGAUAAGACACGAUAAAAGUAUAAUGUAUAAACUACUUGAAAAUAUUUAAUCCACCACCACCACUCCCCACCACUACCAUCGCCGCCACCGCCGCAACCACCACCACCGCUCCACCACUGCACAAUCGUUGCUACUGUCAUCGUUAUCACCACUACUACUACCACCACCACCAUCCUUAUUUGGGGUGUUACAAUCCCCAUUGCAACCACCAUUGUCGCCACCAUCGCCACAGCCAAAGCCACCACGCUCCACCACUGCCACUAUCGUCGCUACAACCAUUAGUACCACCAUCCCCGCUGCCGCCACCACCACCUUUCAAUACGACCACUACCACCAUCACUACCUACCGCCACAACCCACACCUAUGUUGCCACAGCCACCUCCCUCCAUCGCCGCCACAACUCAGCAUCAUCACUACCACCUCUACAACACCGCCACAACCCACCCUCCAUUAUUGCCACCAACACUACCACCACCCAUCACCACUAUCUUUACCACCCAUUAACACCAUCAUGAUACUUUGUGGGAAAAAAAUCUAUGUGGACAGUGAGCCCCAUACCGUGGGGCCAAACUCAUAAUUGAGUGAUGAAGGCAGGGGUAGUUUUGUCAUCUGAGUAUCCACUGGAUCUCCUUAACUGUCUCGGUUGAUUGAUAUAAACAGACGCGUCCCCUCUACACGAUUUCACAGCUCCACCAUUUUUCCUCUUCUCAUCAACUUUCACUCAACGAGAGGAGACCCACCUUUUUCUUUCCUUCCAUUUUCCUCUCAAAUCUCCUUCUAUUCCUCUCUGGAUUCGCUACCAAUUUGUAAGUUUGUUUUUCUCUCUCUCUCUCUCUCUCACUCUUUCUGUAUAUUUGUUUUGAGUUUCCGUGGUGUGUUUUCAUGAUCUUGCUUGUGCCCAUUUCCAUUUGAUCAUUUUUUGAUUGAAAGAAUUCAGCUUUUGGCAAAUCAGUGUUUUCUGUGAUCUGGGUAUUGCUCCUUUUUUAUGGAUCUGUGAUGAAUUGUAAGAUCAUGUUUUUCUCUGUUCAUAAUUGUCAUGCUUGAUUCCCAAGUGAACAUUUCAACUGGUGAUUGUGUAAAAAAUAGAUCCGUGUUCUUAUUUAUGCUUGAAUCUGUGCAAUGUGUUUCGUAGCAUGUUGUUGUGAUUUUGAAGGUUUUCUUUUGGGGUUGAAUUUUCUGCGUUCAAUGUUGUGUUGUUUUCCUUUUCCUCCAUUGAUCUUGCAAAAUGGAAUUUUCCAGCAAGUGAUUGAUUAAGAAUGUAACAUUUUGUUCAGUCAUUCGUUAACUAAAUGAAGAAAGUAUUGUUAGAAUAUAAUAUAAAAUCAUUCAUUUGGCCCUUACCCAAUAGCUUAAGCUUUUGGGAUAAGUGGUUAUUUGAUAAAUAUUAGAUUUCUUUUACUUUUUCUUAUUUCACUUGAAGUUAUAGAAAGCUUUGAUGCUAUAGUGCACUUAUGGCGCCUUUCUCCUGUGAUGAGGUUUUAAAACUAUACAUCCUGCUAACUCCCCGAAACCGGGUACUAUUAAGCUAGUCUUGUGCAGUUGUGCUUUAAUAUCUCGUAGGUUAUUCAAUUUCUGUUGUUAUGGCUAUAGUCUGGUUUAUUUUUUCUUCGUGAGAUUGUUUUGUAAAAUGAUAUUCUGUUCACUUUUGCUGUUUGUGGUUUCAAUUGAUAAAUUUGUGUUUUGUUUCUGUUUUAUUGUAGAAGUUGCCUGACAUGGCUUCAUAUACCCCAAAGAAUAUCCUUAUUACUGGGGCUGCUGGGUUCAUUGCCUCUCAUGUUGCCAACCGGCUUGUCAGGACCUAUCCAGACUACAAAAUUGUUGUGCUCGAUAAACUCGAUUAUUGUUCCAAUCUGAAGAACCUCCUUCCUUCCAAAUCAUCUCCUAACUUCAAGUUUGUGAAGGGGGACAUUGGUAGUGCUGAUCUUGUCAACCACCUUCUUAUCACCGAGUCCAUUGAUACUAUAAUGCACUUUGCUGCUCAAACACAUGUUGACAACUCCUUUGGUAAUAGCUUUGAGUUCACCAAGAACAACAUAUAUGGAACUCAUGUCCUAUUAGAAGCCUGCAAGGUAACUGGACAAAUCAGAAGGUUCAUUCAUGUCAGCACAGACGAGGUGUACGGGGAGACAGAUGAGGAUGCUGUUGUGGGAAACCAUGAGGCUUCCCAACUUCUUCCAACAAACCCAUACUCUGCAACAAAGGCUGGGGCUGAAAUGCUUGUUAUGGCAUAUGGUACGUCAUAUGGUUUACCUGUCAUCACAACUCGUGGGAACAAUGUUUACGGGCCAAAUCAGUUUCCUGAGAAGUUAAUUCCAAAGUUCAUCCUACUGGCCAUGCAAGGAAAGACUCUUCCAAUUCAUGGGGAUGGUUCAAAUGUGAGGAGUUACUUAUAUUGUGAAGAUGUUGCGGAGGCAUUUGAAGUUAUCCUUCAUAGGGGAGAGGUUGGUCAUGUCUACAAUAUCGGGACAAAGAAGGAAAGGAGAGUUAUUGAUGUGGCCAAAGAUAUAUGCAAUCUUUUCUCAAAGGAUCCAGAAACAAGUAUAAAAUUUGUAGAUAAUAGACCAUUUAAUGACCAGAGGUACUUUCUCGACGAUCAAAAGCUGAAGGUUUUGGGUUGGUCUGAGAGGACCACUUGGGAAGAGGGCCUGAAGAAAACCAUGGAAUGGUAUACACAAAAUCCUGAUUGGUGGGGUGAUGUCACAGGAGCGUUGCUUCCUCAUCCAAGGAUGCUGAUGAUGCCUGGUGGGAUGGAGAGACAUUAUGAAGGAUCUGAAGGUGAAAACCCUGCUUCCUUGGCUUCAAGUAAUACUCGAAUGGUUGUUCCGUCAUCCAAGAGCAAUGGUACUCAGCAGAAACCUCCUUUUAAGUUCUUGAUCUAUGGUAGAACAGGGUGGAUUGGAGGUUUGCUGGGGAAACUGUGCGAUAAGCAAGGAAUUCCAUAUGAAUAUGGAAAGGGGCGCCUAGAGGAUCGCUCCUCAGUGGUGGCUGACAUUAAUAAUGUGAAA
RNAcentral lists this long non-coding RNA (16287 nucleotides) under Lotus japonicus. RNAcentral's name for it is "long non-coding RNA (LJAP_LNC000042)". The record is from RNAcentral. Lineage: Eukaryota; Viridiplantae; Streptophyta; Magnoliopsida; Fabales; Fabaceae.